UACGUAGGGGGCGAGCGUUGUCCGGAUUUAUUGGGCGUAAGGAGCGUGUAGGCGGCCACUUAAGUCUGCUGUGAAAGUCCAGGGCUCAACCCUGGGAUGUCAGUGGAUACUGGGUGGCUCGAGUCCGGAAGAGGAGUGUGGAAUUCCUGGUGUAGCGGUGAAAUGCGCAGAUAUCAGGAGGAACACCAAUGGCGAAGGCAGCACUCUGGGACGUGACUGACGCUGAGACGCGAAAGCGUGGGGAGCAAACAGG
Molecule: ribosomal RNA, 253 nt
Filed under: uncultured bacterium
Lineage: Bacteria
Description: partial 16S ribosomal RNA
Rfam family: Bacterial small subunit ribosomal RNA
Source: RNAcentral